Molecule: non-coding RNA, 252 nt
Organism: Pelobates cultripes (western spadefoot toad)
Lineage: Eukaryota; Metazoa; Chordata; Amphibia; Anura; Pelobatidae
Source: the annotation of a GenBank genome assembly
AGACAAAUUGCAAGUUCAAGAAUAUUUUCCCUUUAUUUGGUGACUUGGUAUACUGAUUCCCCUGGCAGGGUCAGAGACCGAGACAAAGACAAGUAUUAUAUUACUUCCUUGGUAGGUACAACAUAUGGGUGACGUAUGUCCCAUUAAUCAGACAUAUGACACUCAGUGCAUAUGCUCACAAAUGUAUGCUGAGUGCACUUUAUGCCAAGCAGAUAUUUGGGGCACUGCCAACGGUUCUACAUGUGUUUACAG